CAGGGAGACAACAAAAUGUUAAAUAUUAAUUUUGUCACCUUAGGUCGAUCGGUAUCUCACAUUCUUAGUUUAUUAAGAAUUUUAUUUCCUAAGUUUUUCUAGGUCACACCCAUUACUUUUCCUGGGCCAUUAGCUCAGGUGGUUAGAGCGCACCCCUGAUAAGGGUGAGGUCCCUGGUUCAAGUCCAGGAUGGCCCAUAUCUCUAUGUUGGGGGUAUAGCUCAGUUGGUAGAGCGCCUGCUUUGCAAGCAGGAUGUCAGCGGUUCGAGUCCGCUUACCUCCACUGAUUUCCACCUCUUCCAUAUUUUCAGAAGGGAAAUGUUUUGAGUUGUGAUCAAAUUCUGAAAGAAUCUAGCUUCCUAAUGAAAUCAUUAAGAUGCUGGACUCAUUGAAUUAAUUUCAUUGUUUUCAGAGAACCUUGACAACUGCAUAGAUUAUUUUUAAAGACAAUAAGCAUCUUUAAUGAUGCAGAUUUAUUAUUUGUGCGAAUGCAUUAAUAACAAUUCUAUUAAGCUGAUGCUUCAUUUUUGAAGUUAUU
This 537-nucleotide transfer RNA is filed under the name uncultured Prochlorococcus sp. RNAcentral describes it as "partial 16S-23S ribosomal RNA intergenic spacer". The stretch from base 210 to 282 matches the Rfam family "tRNA". The record is from RNAcentral. Lineage: Bacteria; Bacillati; Cyanobacteriota; Cyanophyceae; Synechococcales; Prochlorococcaceae.